Molecule: ribosomal RNA, 450 nt
Filed under: uncultured bacterium
Lineage: Bacteria
Description: bacterial SSU rRNA
Rfam family: Bacterial small subunit ribosomal RNA
Source: RNAcentral
CUACCAGACUCCUACGGGAGGCAGCAGUGGGGAAUAUUGCACAAUGGGCGAAAGCCUGAUGCAGCAACGCCGCGUGAAGGAAGAAGGGUUUCGGCUCGUAAACUUCUAUCAACAGGGACGAAAGAAAUGACGGUACCUGAAUAAGAAGCCCCGGCUAACUACGUGCCAGCAGCCGCGGUAAUACGUAGGGGGCAAGCGUUAUCCGGAUUUACUGGGUGUAAAGGGUGCGCAGGUGGCAGGGCAAGUCAGAUGUGAAAGCCCGGGGCUCAACCCCGGUAUUGCAUUUGAAACUGUCCGGCUAGAGUGCAGGAGAGGUAAGCGGAAUUCCUAGUGUAGCGGUGAAAUGCGUAGAUAUUAGGAGGAACACCAGUGGCGAAGGCGGCUUACUGGACUGUAACUGACACUGAGGCACGAAAGCGUGGGGAGCAAACAGGAUUAGAUACCCUAGUA